UAGGGAAUCUUCCACAAUGGACGCAAGUCUGAUGGAGCAAGGCCGCGUGAGUGAAGAAGGUUUUCGGAUCGUAAAGCUCUGUUGUUGGUGAAGAAGGAUAGAGGCAGUAACUGGUCUUUAUUUGACGGUAAUCAACCAGAAAGUCACGGCUAACUACGUGCCAGCAGCCGCGGUAAUACGUAGGUGGCAAGCGUUGUCCGGAUUUAUUGGGCGUAAAGCGAGCGCAGGCGGAAUGAUAAGUCUGAUGUGAAAGCCCACGGCUCAACCGUGGAACUGCAUCGGAAACUGUCAUUCUUGAGUGCAGAAGAGGAGAGUGGAAUUCCAUGUGUAGCGGUGGAAUGCGUAGAUAUAUGGAAGAACACCAGUGGCGAAGGCGGCUCUCUGGUCUGCAACUGACGCUGAGGCUCGAAAGCAUGGGUAGCGAACAGG
Molecule: ribosomal RNA, 429 nt
Filed under: bacterium
Lineage: Bacteria
Description: partial 16S ribosomal RNA
Rfam family: Bacterial small subunit ribosomal RNA
Source: RNAcentral